AGAUUUAACUGAUGUAAUUUCUCCCUGGAACGCAAGCCACCCCAAAAUGGGCAGGGAGCCAUGACCCAGCACUUUCUAGGGUUCGUGCUAGAGUGGUUCAGCUCAGUCAUAGGCAUAUGCCUACUAGGCGCAACCUGGUCUUCAGAAAGGAGGUUGACAACAUGUCAGCUUCUCAUCCACACCAGUCAUACACCUGAUAGCUGAAGAUCACAUUUGUCACUGCCUCCUCCAACAAAAAAUGUCAUUUGAUGCAGGAGCAAACUUGUCAUCACCUCAAGCUGACCAUGUGAAUCCUUUUCCCAGCUUCAUGCUCAGAAAUUUCAUGACACAGUAGAGAUUUACACAUGUAGGACAGGAACACAGGGAUGAAACAAGCCAGCUCUUUAUUUUCACUAAUGUUCUUUCCUUUUUGCUGCCUUCUCCCAGGUUUGAUGGGAGCCCUUGGGAAUCUACAUGUAAGCAAUACUCAUGUCUUCAUUCUGCUGCCAGCUUCUCUCAGCCUUCCCCUCCACUGUAAAUCAACGCGGGGAGAGAAAUAAAUGAAGAAUGGGGGAAAUGCCUCUUGGGAAACUGACUUUGUGGAGCAAGGUCUGCCAAUGGAUAACCCGACCUUGUGCAUAUAAUUUUGGAAUUAGUAUUUGCCAGGAUUCUACACAAUGUCCCUGUUCUGUUUUUAUAAGCAUCUGAUUGCAUGGAACACAAGCUUUUAUAUCUUUUUCUAGGCCACAUUUCUAUUUUGUAAUAUGUUUCGAAUCAAAGGGAAAAAGCAAUCUCACACAAUCAAGCUAGAGCUGCCAUUAGAUGAUUCAUUCUCUUUCAAAGAGGAUUACCGGUCAAAGCCACCCAAAAACAACCUCAGGAUGAUCUUGCAAUUUUGCAGGGAGGAUAUGCCUAAAAAGAGUUAAGCAGGCCUGCAAGAUUAGUCAGCAACACCUGUUUUACUGUCUACAUAUUCAGUUCUCUAUUACCGCUGCCCCUAAUCCCUCUCUUUUUCCUCCUCUUUAAAAAAUUAUGAGUUUGGCACAGUAACACCAAACAAGUGCAUUCCAAGAGUUGAACAAUUUGGUAUACUUAAUAGGUACCUACUCCCAUUAUAAAUUAUGUAUACUGUAUGAAAACAUAGGGCAUUCUUCUCUCACUUACACUAGUGUAAAUCAGGAAUAACUCUGUGGAAGUCAGUGGAGUUACACUAACGUACGUGAGAGAAGAAUCUACCCCAAUGUAGCUACCAGAGUUGCCAACUCUAAUGAUUUAUUGUGAGUCACCUGAUGUUUGAUUUUUUUUUAGCUCCUGGGGUCAUGUUAUUUUGUGAAAAUAUCAGCUUUCAUUUACUAUUUAAAAAAUUAAGUCUGCAGGGGAAAGCUUGAAUAUGCAAACACUUGACUAAAAAAAACCAGAAGAACCCCCACAUUUUAUAUUGUUUAAAAUCUCAUUAGUUUGAAGCCAAUUGCAUGAUUUUGCAGGGGCCUAAACACUUGGGGUUGCAACACUGAGCUUCCCUUCAAUAAGGCAGGUGUACGUGAUAGGUAAGACAGACCAAUAAGGAACACACAGGCACAUAAGUUGACCAGACAGCAAGUGUGAAAGAUUGGAACUGGGUGGGGGUAAUAGGAGCCUAUACAGGAAAAAGACCCAAAAAUCGGGACAGUCCCUAUAAAAUCGGGACAUCUGGUCAUCCUACAUGCACAGAACAUUAUGCAUUAGUCUAUUGUCCAGUCUGGUUGUCCUCUAAAUAGUAUCUGAAAUUCUAUAUAAUGAAUUUUGUGUCUAUACAUCCUCAGCUCCAUGCCAGUGUCAAUAUGUCUGCUUGUAGUAACACGGCAUGUUGUGAUCGAUAUUAUUUAAAAGAUGAAUUGGUCACAGAGAACUUGAUGAAGGCUGGAAAGAUUGAGGGAGCAGAUAAUGCUUGCAUCAGAGAAGCUGUAAGAGAUGGGAAAUUUUACUUAUUUGGGCAGCUGAGCACAGCAGAUGGCAAGAUCUUAGGGGAAAUAAACACAAAGUUUGGGAAAGCAAGCAGUGUGUUCUAGCCAUUGUCAAUGAGCUCCUACAGUAGAAAAAAAAAUCAGUCAGAAAUUAAAUAUCAAACAGGCCCUUGGCAGACAGAAAAGGUAGGACAGAGGAGGUUGAUGGGUUUCAAGGGCCAGCAUUUGAAAAAUAAUUGUAUGGAUCAGAUGGUAUUACUACUUUAGCAACCAGGAGAUUUGAACAGAGGUCCAUCAAUUAUGGGUCAAAGUGCAUUCAACUAGAAAACUCAGCUAAAUGUGUAUCUGCCAGGCCUAUAGGCUUGGUCUACA
Molecule: non-coding RNA, 2294 nt
Organism: Chrysemys picta bellii (western painted turtle)
Lineage: Eukaryota; Metazoa; Chordata; Testudines; Emydidae
Source: RefSeq, a predicted model, not a curated record